AGUGAACGCUGGCGGCGUGCCUAAUACAUGCAAGUCGAACGGACAAGUAAGAGCUUGCUCUUAUGAGUUAGUGGCGCACGGGUGAGUAAUGUAUAGCUAAUCUGCCCUACACUAGAGGACAACAGUCGGAAACGGCUGCUAAUACUCUAUACUCCUGUCUUACAUAAGUUAGAUAGGGAAAGUUUUUCGGUGUAGGAUGAGGCUAUAUUGUAUCAGCUAGUUGGUGAGGUAAUGGCUCACCAAGGCUAUGACGCAUAACUGGUCUGAGAGGAUGAUCAGUCACACUGGAACUGAGACACGGUCCAGACUCCUACGGGAGGCAGCAGUAGGGAAUAUUGCUCAAUGGGGGAAACCCUGAAGCAGCAACGCCGCGUGGAGGAUGACACUUUUCGGAGCGUAAACUCCUUUUGUUAGGGAAGAACAAUGACGGACCUAACGAUAGCCCC
RNAcentral lists this ribosomal RNA (446 nucleotides) under Campylobacter concisus. Its description in RNAcentral is "bacterial SSU rRNA". It matches the Rfam family "Bacterial small subunit ribosomal RNA", at positions 29 to 494 of the family's 1533-position model. Lineage: Bacteria; Pseudomonadati; Campylobacterota; Epsilonproteobacteria; Campylobacterales; Campylobacteraceae. The record is from RNAcentral.